UGGGGAAUCUUCCGCANUUCCGAAAGCCUGAUGGAGCAACGCCGCGUGAGCGAAGAAGGUCUUCGGAUCGUAAAGCUCUGUUGUUAGGGAAGAACAAAUGCAGUAGUAACUGGCUGUACCUUGACGGUACCUUACUAGAAAGCCACGGCUAACUACGUGCCAGCAGCCGCGGUAAUACGUAGGUGGCAAGCGUUGUCCGGAAUUAUUGGGCGUAAAGCGCGCGCAGGCGGUCUUUUAAGUCUGAUGUGAAAUCCCCCGGCUCAACCGGGGGGGGUCAUUGGAAACUGGGAGACUUGAGUGCAGGAGAGGGAAGCGGAAUUCCUUGUGUAGCGGUGAAAUGCGUAGAGAUAUGGAGGAACACCCGUGGCGAAGGCGGCUUUCUGGNCUGUAACUGACGCUGAGGCGCGAAAGCGUGGGGAGCAAACAGGAUUAGAUACCCUGGUAGUCCACGCCNUAAACGAUGAGUGCUUAUUGUUGGGGGGUUUCCUCCCCUNAGUGCUGCAGCUAACGCAUUAAGCACUCCGCCUGGGGAGUACGGUCGCAAGACUGAAAACUCAAGGGNAUUUNUCGGGG
Molecule: ribosomal RNA, 573 nt
Filed under: uncultured Ureibacillus sp.
Lineage: Bacteria; Bacillati; Bacillota; Bacilli; Caryophanales; Caryophanaceae
Description: bacterial SSU rRNA
Rfam family: Bacterial small subunit ribosomal RNA
Source: RNAcentral